GGGGUCGUUACGGAUUCGACAGGCAUUAUGAGGCUUGUUAUGCAACUCAUCGGCAGAUGUAAAAUUGCCAGUUAAAUAUAACUGCAAAAAAUACAAACUCUUACGCAUUAGCAGCCUAAACACCUGCGUGCGUGACCUGACAUAGAUUGCUUGUGUUUGUCGUUAGGUCUUAAAAUAACAAGCUACGUUGGUUUAUUGUCUAGCUAAAUCAAAAGAGAUUCAUAGACUCGCUGACUGAAGAGUUGAGUUAUGUCUCGUCAGUUCAGUUAAAGGAAAUGCAUAACCUAUAGUUGUAGACGAAUAAGUUAGCAGGUGUUUGGACGUGGGUUCGACUCCCACCGGCUCCAUGA
Molecule: transfer-messenger RNA, 350 nt
Filed under: Streptococcaceae
Lineage: Bacteria; Bacillati; Bacillota; Bacilli; Lactobacillales
Also listed under: 1 other name
Description: Streptococcus sp001182825 Standard tmRNA
Rfam family: transfer-messenger RNA
About the family: Bacterial tmRNA, also known as 10Sa RNA or SsrA, is named for its dual tRNA and mRNA-like properties. Its role is to liberate the mRNA from a stalled ribosome.
Source: RNAcentral